This 404-nucleotide ribosomal RNA is filed under the name Actinomycetes bacterium. RNAcentral's name for it is "Actinobacteria bacterium partial 16S ribosomal RNA". It matches the Rfam family "Bacterial small subunit ribosomal RNA", at positions 355 to 776 of the family's 1533-position model. Lineage: Bacteria; Bacillati; Actinomycetota; Actinomycetes. RNAcentral also lists the same sequence under 1 other name. The record is from RNAcentral.
GGGGGAAUAUUGGACAAUGGGCGCAAGCCUGAUCCAGCCAUGCCGCGUGAGUGAUGAAGGCCCUAGGGUUGUAAAGCUCUUUCACCGGUGAAGAUAAUGACGGUAACCGGAGAAGAAGCCCCGGCUAACUUCGUGCCAGCAGCCGCGGUAAUACGAAGGGGGCUAGCGUUGUUCGGAUUUACUGGGCGUAAAGCGCACGUAGGCGGACUUUUAAGUCAGGGGUGAAAUCCCGGGGCUCAACCCCGGAACUGCCUUUGAUACUGGAAGUCUUGAGUAUGGUAGAGGUGAGUGGAAUUCCGAGUGUAGAGGUGAAAUUCGUAGAUAUUCGGAGGAACACCAGUGGCGAAGGCGGCUCACUGGACCAUUACUGACGCUGAGGUGCGAAAGCGUGGGGAGCAAACAGG